AUGAUGUGGUUUAAUUCGAUGCAACGCGAAAACCUUACCCACCUUUGACAUGGCAGGAAUCCCGAAGAGAUUUGGGAGUGCUCGAAAGAGAACCUGCACGCAGGUGCUGCAUGGCUGUCGUCAGCUCGUGUCGUGAGAUGUUGGGUUAAGUCCCGCAACGAGCGCAACCCUUGCCAUUAGUUGCUACGAAAGGGCACUCUAAUGGGACUGCCGGUGACAAACCGGAGGAAGGUGGGGAUGACGUCAAGUCCUCAUGGCCCUUAUAGGUGGGGCUACACACGUCAUACAAUGGCCGGUACAGAGGGUAGCCAACCCGCGAGGGGGAGCCAAUCCCACAAAGCCGGUCGUAGUCCGGAUCGCAGUCUGCAACUCGACUGCGUGAAGUCGGAAUCGCUAGUAAUCGUGGAUCAGCAUGUCACGGUGAAUACGUUCCCGGGUCUU
RNAcentral lists this ribosomal RNA (441 nucleotides) under uncultured Allobrachymonas sp. Its description in RNAcentral is "bacterial SSU rRNA". It matches the Rfam family "Bacterial small subunit ribosomal RNA", at positions 936 to 1382 of the family's 1533-position model. Lineage: Bacteria; Pseudomonadati; Pseudomonadota; Betaproteobacteria; Burkholderiales; Comamonadaceae. The record is from RNAcentral.